This is a long non-coding RNA of Stegodyphus dumicola, 965 nucleotides long. The record is from RefSeq and is a predicted model, not a curated record. Lineage: Eukaryota; Metazoa; Arthropoda; Arachnida; Araneae; Eresidae.
UAGUGAUAUUGCUUUGUGUUUGCCUUUUUUUUCUUGCUUUUCGUGAAGUUCCUUUUCAGUGAUAUGGAAAUGUGAAGCUUUCUGUACAAGAAGGAUGGCUAUCCGUCUAUGGUUAGGGGUAGAGAACUUUUGAAGAGAAUCAAAUACACACACCACCAGCCUGCAUGCACAUAUCGCUCCCCAAAAAGCUCGGAAUUGCAGCUGUAGCAGUUCAGUACAUAUUUGAUCACAGUUGCACCAAGCAGUGGGUUGCCAGUACUGCCAAGGAGGUUGAGUUCUUCCUAGAAGAGCUCUGGUCAAGUCCAGUUGCCUCAUGGAUUCUAUCAAAGAGAACAGAUUAAACCCAGUGGUUAAAUAGAUUCUAAACUGAUGUCAAGUCUGCAUUAGAUGAGUGGAUCCUACCACAGAAAUCAGAGAGACUAAGCAGACUUUAUGAGAAUUCUACAUAUCAGUGGACCUAUUGCCCAGUUGCUUAGCAGAAUAUACCUAAGAGAAGCUACAUACUGAGACAUAAUGAGAGAUAAUUGGUAAUAUUGAGGAUAUAUUGAAAGAGAUCCAGCUCCAUCUAAGAUAUUGUUCUUGUUAACCUUCCUGUAUUACGUCAAGUUUCAUCAGUUCAAGUUUGUUUAAAAAAUAAAACCAUACUUUGGUUUAAUAGUUUGCGUUUUCUAUAAAAUAAUAUAUCGAAAUCAGAACUAUACAAGUUUUUAAGAAUUAAAGUAAGAAUCAAAUCCAGAAAGUUAAUGCUACUCUUACUAAAUAUGAUUUAAUUGUACUGUGAUUAAUUAAACUAAUAAGACUACUAAAAAGCUACAUAAAUAUUUUAUCAGCGUAAUGUUUUAUUAAUAAAAAGAUAAUACAAGUAAAAAGAACACAUUUUCAUUAAACAUUUACAGAUAUAUUUUAAUUUUUUCACAAAAUUAUAUUUACAGAUGGUAUGAGAAUAUGAAACACAUCAACAUCUC